This 1218-nucleotide ribosomal RNA is filed under the name Triticum aestivum (bread wheat). RNAcentral's name for it is "partial small subunit ribosomal RNA". The record is from RNAcentral. Lineage: Eukaryota; Viridiplantae; Streptophyta; Magnoliopsida; Poales; Poaceae.
AUGCAAAGAGAAUCCAUUCCGAAGUGCUUUAGAGCUGAGACAAGAACUGAUUGUAAAGCUCGAAUGACUCUUACAUUGGAUCGAGAGUCUGGAAAUUUGGAAGUCACGGAUGUAGUUCUUGAACAUAAUCACUUGCUUCACUUGCCACAAACCCGCCAUCUCAUGGUGUCCCAAAGGAAAAUUUCAGAAUUUCAAGCAUAUGAAAUUGAAGCCGCAAAUGAUUCUGGAAUUAGGCCUAAAGUUGCAUAUGAGCUUGCUACUCGUCAGGUUGGCGGACCACUUAAUCUCAGCUACACUUGUCGAGACCACAGAAAUCUUUUGCAAAGCAAGAGGCAAAGAGAGCUUGGUUUUGGUCAGGCAGGCAGCAUGUUAAAGUACUUUCGUGGAAAAGUUGCUGAAAAUCCAUCAUUUCAAUAUGCUUUGCAACUGGAUUGCGAGGAGAAUAUAUCAAACAUUUUCUGGGCUGAUGCUAAAAUGAUGUUAGACUAUGCACACUUUGGCGAUGUUGUCACAUUUGACACUACUUUUGGUACAAACAAGGAAUAUAGGCCAUUUGGUGUUUUUCUUGGGCUCAAUCAGUUUAGGGAGACUACAGUUUUUGGUGCUGCACUAAUGUUUGACGAAACAUUUGCCUCAUUCAAAUGGCUCUUUGAAACUUUCCUAGGUGCGCAUAAUGGAAGGCAACCUAGAACUAUUUAUACCGAUCAAGAUUAUGCAAUGGGUAGAGCUGUAGAGGAUGUGUUCACAGAAGCAUAUCAUGGACUGUGUACAUUUCACAUAAUGCAAAAUGCUGUGAAACAUCUAUCUCCAAUUAAGGGUGAAUAUGAAGACGAGGGUGAAGAGAAAGAGGAGGGUGAAGGCAAAGAUGAAGAUGAAGAAUCACAUAUUCUCACUGAUUUUAGUGCUUGUAUGUAUGGCUAUGAGGACAAGGUUGAGUUUGAAGAAGCAUUUGCCAACAUGAGGUUAAAGAUGCAUAAGCAAACUUGGUUCGAUAGUAUCUACAAGGUAAAAGAAAAGUGGGUUGAAUGUUUUAUGAGAGAUGUCUUCAGUUUGGGAGUGAGAAGUACACAAUUAAGUGAGAGCUUCAACAAUUCAUUGAAGAACCAUUUGAAAUCUGAUUUUCAUAUUGUUAGAUUUUUAAAGGAUUUUGAAAGGAUAGUGGAACAAAAAAGAAACAAAGAGCAUUUUAAAGCAUUUUCAUAUUGUUCUAAUAUGUAG